This 503-nucleotide ribosomal RNA is filed under the name uncultured bacterium. Its description in RNAcentral is "partial 16S ribosomal RNA". It matches the Rfam family "Bacterial small subunit ribosomal RNA", at positions 30 to 523 of the family's 1533-position model. The record is from RNAcentral.
AUUGAACGCUGGCGGCAGGCUUAACACAUGCAAGUCGAGCGGGGUGAUGGUGCUUGCACUAUCACUUAGCGGCGGACGGGUGAGUAAUGCUUAGGAAUCUGCCUAUUAGUGGGGGACAACAUCUCGAAAGGGAUGCUAAUACCGCAUACGUCCUACGGGAGAGAGCAGGGGAUCACUUGUGACCUUGCGCUAAUAGAUGAGCCUAAGUCGGAUUGGCUAGUUGGUGGGGUAAAGGCCUACCAAGGCGACGAUCUGUAGCGGGUCUGAGAGGAUGAUCCGCCACACUGGGACUGAGACACGGCCCAGACUCCUACGGGAGGCAGCAGUGGGGAAUAUUGGACAAUGGGGGGAACCCUGAUCCAGCCAUGCCGCGUGUGUGAAGAAGGCCUUAUGGUUGUAAAGCACUUUAAGCGAGGAGGAGGCUCUUUUGGUUAAUACCCAAGAUGAGUGGACGUUACUCGCAGAAUAAGCACCGGCUAACUCUGUGCCAGCAGCCGCCGCAG